AUACGGAGGACGCGAGCGUUAUCCGGAUUCAUUGGGUUUAAAGGGUGCGCAGGCGGCCGUGCAAGUCAGCGGUGAAAGCCCGGGGCUCAACCCCGGAAGUGCCGUUGAUACUGCAUGGCUGGAAUGCGGUCGAGGCGGGCGGGAGGUGGCGGGGAGCGGUGAAAGGCUUAGAUAUGCCACAGAACGCCGAUAGCGGAGGCAGCUCGCCAGGCCUGCAUGGACGCUCGGGCACGAAAGCGUGGGGAUCGAACAGGAUUAGAUACCCUGGUAGUCCACGCCGUAAACGAUGGGCGCUCGUCGUCGGCGGCAGACAGUCGGCGGCCAAGCGAAAGCGAUAAGCGCCCCACCUGGGGAGUACGGUCGCAAGGCUGAAACUCAAAUGAAUUGGCGGGG
Molecule: ribosomal RNA, 393 nt
Filed under: uncultured bacterium
Lineage: Bacteria
Description: partial 16S ribosomal RNA
Rfam family: Bacterial small subunit ribosomal RNA
Source: RNAcentral